CCGCUGUGCCUGCUCGGCCGACUCCUCCAUGA
This 32-nucleotide non-coding RNA is filed under the name Homo sapiens (human). Lineage: Eukaryota; Metazoa; Chordata; Mammalia; Primates; Hominidae. The record is from RNAcentral.